AGCAGCCGCGGUAAUUCCAGCUCCAAUAGCGUAUAUUAAAGUUGUUGCAGUUAAAAAGCUCGUAGUUGAAUUUCGGGGUCUGUCCGUCGGUCGGGCUUUACGGUCCGUACUGGUGUGAUGGGUUCCUACCUUCUGAAUAACCGGCAUGCCAUUCAGUUGGUGCGCCGGGGAAGCAGAGCUAUUACCUUAGAAAAAAUUAGAGUGCUUAAAGCAGGCUAGUGCUUGAAUAGAUUAGCA
This 237-nucleotide ribosomal RNA is filed under the name uncultured Acaulosporaceae. RNAcentral's name for it is "partial 18S ribosomal RNA". It matches the Rfam family "Eukaryotic small subunit ribosomal RNA", at positions 569 to 809 of the family's 1831-position model. The record is from RNAcentral. Lineage: Eukaryota; Fungi; Glomeromycota; Glomeromycetes; Diversisporales; Acaulosporaceae.